This 3116-nucleotide small RNA is filed under the name Pan troglodytes (chimpanzee). RNAcentral's name for it is "retained intron". The record is from RNAcentral. Lineage: Eukaryota; Metazoa; Chordata; Mammalia; Primates; Hominidae.
CCAUCGCAAGGAAACGCUUGCUUCCAGUGGUACCAAAUAGUAUUUGGAACCAGUUUGUGCCCAAGCUCAAAUCUCGUUAGCAUCUGCCUGUUUCCCUGGUGUGCAUGUGUCCUGCCUCGAUGCAUUUGGCACCAGGUGGGAUGCGCUGGGCCUGCUGCCUGGUUGCUGCCUUUGCGUGUUUAUUUAGCCCCAAUGGCGUCUCCCAUCUCCCCCGCAUGGGAAAGGCAGGUGCUGCCCUCUGGGAGCCUGGCAGGAGGAACACUGGGUUGGGGAGGGGGGCAUGUGUGGUCCCAAGUCUGGAAGAAGCUCCUUCCUCUUCUCCCGCUGGGAGCUGUGUGGCUGAUGGGAGCCCAUCUCCACCGCGGCACCUGCAUGGUCUCAGCCUUCCGGUUCGGUGCCGCUGUGCCGGGGGCUACUCUCUUGCCAGUGGGGACCACAGCCCUCAGUAUCCCAUAGGUCAAGGGCGUCAGGCCCUCUCAGUGAGCCUCAGUCAUUCACUUUAGAAACUGCUUCCCGGCUCGGUCUGCUAGGUGUUGAACAUGACCGUGGCACUCACUGAAAACACCUGCCUGGGAAGGCAUCUGCGGCAGGAAGGCUGCUUCCCUCCUGGCUGAGGGGCACUGCCCUGCCUGACAAGGGCGUGGCUUCCCAGGGCCUGGGGAUCGAGGUCUCCCACAGGGUGGCCCAGCAAUUGGAAGCAGAUGGUCUCAAACCCUGAAACGUGCCAGGCAUUCUGGAAGUUUGCAGGGGUGUCCUGCUCAGCUCUUUAUGAACCCAGGAAGAUGACAGGCUCUGUUGGGGGCCCACGGCACACAUUUCAGGGGGUCUGUGGGACUUAACUGACCCCACCUCAGACAGAUGCAGACAGCGGCUCAUCACCGGGGGGUCCCUCACGGGUGUCUGUCUCUCUUAGGUUGGAGCAAAACAUCCCACUCACUGGAGGCACCUGAGGACGACGGGGGCUGGUCAAGUGCAGAGGAGCAGAUUAACUCGUCCGACGCAGAGGAGGACGGCGGGUUGGGCCCCAAGAAGCUGGUUCCGGGUAAAUAUACGGUCGUGGCGGACCACGAGAAGGGAGGCCCCGAUGCGCUGCUCGUGAGGAGCGGGGACGUGGUGGAGCUGGUGCAGGAGGGCGACGAGGGCCUUUGGUAAGACCCCGCGCUCACCCCCGGACUGCCCCGCACGUGGCUGCCGCUGACCCUCGCCCCUUGCAGGUACGUCAGGGACCCGACCACUGGCAAGGAGGGCUGGGUGCCGGCCAGCAGCCUGUCCGUCCAGCUCGGCCCGUCCGGCUCGGCCCAGUGCCUGAGCAGCUCAGAGUCGAGCCCGGGGUCGGCCGUGCUGAGCAACUCGUCCAGCUGCAGCGAGGGCGGCCAGGCCCCCUUCUCCGACCUGCAGGGGUAGCGCCGCGCAGUCUCGGCGCCGGAGACCCGCGCGCUGUCUGGGGCUGCCGCUGCGAGGGCUGGUGUGGCGUGGGGAGGGCGCAGUGCCCCCGGACGCCCCGAGGAAGGGGCACCUCACCGCCCCGACCCAGAGCGCCUGGCCGUGCGGGCUGCAGAGGACCCCUCCAGGGCAGAGGCAGGUUCCACGGAAGACCCCGGCCCGCUGGGGCUUCCCCGGAGACUCCAGAGCCCACAGAGGAGGGGCCGCAGGGAACAGCCCCGGGCAGGAGGCGCCGGGCAGCGGCAUCUCCUCCUGGCUCCACUGUGCUGCUUCUGCCUCUGGACGGUGCUUUCAGGGGACGCGCGGACCGUGGUGGAGCUGCUUCCGGAGAAGUGGAGGAUCCUCUGGCCAACGGCCUGAGGAGAGCGGGGCACGGGGUCUCUUUAUCUUUUACAAGUUUUAGGAUUUUUUUAAGCAGGGAUCAAUCCCGUGGCCAUUUUUUGUGGUACUUUGGCCUCAAUUCUUUACCAGGAAUCACUGUGUUUACAUGAAAUGACAAUUUGAUACUGUAUUUGAUAGAAAACUAUUUUUUUGUUACCGGGGUUUACAUAGAAGCACGUUGUUUAUACCACUAAAUGACUUUGGGGGGGCUCUCCCAUGGAAACGGAUGGCACUCCCUGAAGCUCCCUGGUCACAGGUGGAUGAAAACGUGUCCGUGGGUGACAUCAGGUGGUGUCUCCACCACCAAAAGCAGUUAGAAGCCAAGGAGAUUCCUUUAUCUACCUAGGGUUCAUUUUCAAAAGAAAAUUUAAACUAUAAUUUAAACAAUUAACGUUCUUUUCUACAAAAAAAAUGCAGGGACUUGAUUUUUUUUAAAGAGCUUCACUGAAUUAGGAUAUUUUUAUUGCUUUUAAAGAAAAUACAAAGAUGCAGUUUCUGCAGGGUGUGGCGUGGACCAGUGCUGCCGACCAUAGCUCAGAGAGCCCUGCCCCUGCCUCACUGCACUGCAGCCUCCUCGGAGGCCGCACCUCCACUCCACUCCCCACGCGCCCCCUGCCUCCCACCCAGGUCCACCUGCCACCUGGUGACCACCUUGAGUACAGAAGUGAAAGUGGGGAGAGUAUUUUAUUCAAGUCACAGCAGAACUGGAAAAAAACUCUUCUGUUUUACCAACUUCUUGUGUUUCAGAAACAUAUUCUGUUCAAAACUUUUGAAGCCCUUUCGGCGUCUAGUCUGCAGAUGUUUUUGUAUGUGUGCACCUCUGACCAUGUGUGUACAUAUGUGUCUUGCUGGAAAGGACAUAUUCGCUGUCCCCGUGCUGCUGGGAGGGCCGCCUCACAGCCUCAUGGUUCCCAGCCCCAGCACAGUGGAGGCAGGCGUGGCUGCAUUCCCCUCACGCUACCCUCCCAGCGGCUUGUAGCCGUCACUGGCCAGACCUCCAGGAUGCGGAAUCAAAUAGGAAGCAUGCAGAGACUCGGCAGUUUUUCCUCUGAUGUGUAAGUUAUUUGGAAUGCGUGCUGUGCCCUGCGAUGUCCCUGAUGUACUGUGCAGGCGCGGUGCCUCCGUCUCGUCGCACAGCUGCGCGCCCUUGUGUGACCCUCCCCAUAAAGGCACUUUACAGCUUCAUGUUUCAUCCACUGUCACUUUUUUUUAACUGCUGAUGUAAAUGGAAUUUUAAAAGCAGAGUUCUUUAUUGUAUGGAUGACGUUUGAAUAAAUAUCAGCAACUCCUGC